UCCACGCCGUAAACGAUGGAUACUAGCUGUUCGAACUUCGGUUUGAGUGGCUAAGCGAAAGUGAUAAGUAUCCCACCUGGGGAGUACGUUCGCAAGAAUGAAACUCAAAGGAAUUGACGGGGGCCCGCACAAGCGGUGGAGCAUGUGGUUUAAUUCGAUGAUACGCGAGGAACCUUACCAGGGCUUAAAUGUAAGUUGCAUAGAUCAGAGAUGGUCUUUUCUUCGGACUACUU
Molecule: ribosomal RNA, 233 nt
Filed under: uncultured bacterium
Lineage: Bacteria
Description: partial 16S ribosomal RNA
Rfam family: Bacterial small subunit ribosomal RNA
Source: RNAcentral